This 500-nucleotide ribosomal RNA is filed under the name uncultured bacterium. Its description in RNAcentral is "partial 16S ribosomal RNA". It matches the Rfam family "Bacterial small subunit ribosomal RNA", at positions 30 to 523 of the family's 1533-position model. The record is from RNAcentral.
AUUGAACGCUGGCGGCAGGCCUAACACAUGCAAGUCGAGCGGUAGAGAGAAGCUUGCUUCUCUCGAGAGCGGCGGACGGGUGAGUAAAGCCUAGGAAUCUGCCUGGUAGUGGGGGAUAACGUUCGGAAACGGACGCUAAUACCGCAUACGUCCUACGGGAGAAAGCAGGGGACCUUCGGGCCUUGCGCUAUCAGAUGAGCCUAGGUCGGAUUAGCUAGUUGGUGAGGUAAUGGCUCACCAAGGCGCCGAUUCGUAACUGGUCUGAGAGGAUGAUCAGUCACACUGGAACUGAGACAGGGUCCAGACGCCUACGGGAGGCAGCAGUGGGGAAUAUUGGACAAUGGGCGAAAGCCUGAUCCAGCCAUGCCGCGUGUGUGAAGAAGGUCUUCGGAUUGUAAAGCACUUUAAGUUGGGAGGAAGGGCAUUAACCUAAUACGUUAGUGUUUUGACGUUACCGACAGAAUAAGCACCGGCUAACUCUGUGCCAGCAGCCGCCGUAA